Pipistrellus kuhlii (Kuhl's pipistrelle) is the source of this 105-nucleotide small nuclear RNA. NCBI's taxonomy places the organism in Eukaryota, Metazoa, Chordata, Mammalia, Chiroptera, Vespertilionidae. The record is from RefSeq and is a predicted model, not a curated record.
GUGCUCACUUUAGCAGCACAUAUACUAAAAUUGAAACAAUGCAGAGAAGAUUAGUAUGGCCCCUCACAAGAAGACAUGCAAAUUCAUGAAGCAAGUCCUGCUCCA